UACAGAGGGGGCCAGCGUUAUUCGGAAUUAUUGGGCGUAAAGGGCGCGUAGGCGGCCAUGCGUGUCUCCCGUGAAAUCCCUCGGCUCAACCGAGGACGUGCGGAAGAAACUGCAAGGGCUCGAGUCCGGAAGAGGGGGGCGGAAUUCCCAGUGUAGCGGUGAAAUGCGUAGAUAUUCGCAAGAACACCAGUGGCGAAGGCGGCUCACUGGCCCGGUACUGACGCUGAGGUGCGAAAGCGUGGGGAGCAAACAGG
This 254-nucleotide ribosomal RNA is filed under the name uncultured bacterium. RNAcentral's name for it is "partial 16S ribosomal RNA". It matches the Rfam family "Bacterial small subunit ribosomal RNA", at positions 524 to 776 of the family's 1533-position model. The record is from RNAcentral.